RNAcentral lists this ribosomal RNA (548 nucleotides) under uncultured Glomus. RNAcentral's name for it is "SSU rRNA". It matches the Rfam family "Eukaryotic small subunit ribosomal RNA", at positions 548 to 1098 of the family's 1831-position model. The record is from RNAcentral. Lineage: Eukaryota; Fungi; Glomeromycota; Glomeromycetes; Glomerales; Glomeraceae.
UUGGAGGGCAAGUCUGGUGCCAGCAGCCGCGGUAAUUCCAGCUCCAAUAGCGUAUAUUAAAGUUGUUGCAGUUAAAAAGCUCGUAGUUGAAUUUCGGGAUCAAUAUGCCGGUCAUGCCUUGGUAUGCACUGGUAUCUUUGAUUUCUCCCUUCUGACGAACUUUGAUGUCAUUAAUUUGGUGUCAUAGGGAAUCAGGACUGUUACUUUGAAAAAAUUAGAGUGUUUAAAGCAAGCUCACGCUUGAAUACAUUAGCAUGGAAUAAUGAAAUAGGACGUUUGAUUCUAUUUUGUUGGUUUCUAGGAUCGACGUAAUGAUUAAUAGGGAUAGUUGGGGGCAUUAGUAUUCAAUUGUCAGAGGUGAAAUUCUUGGAUUUAUUGAAGACUAACUACUGCGAAAGCAUUUGCCAAGGAUGUUUUCAUUAAUCAAGAACGAAAGUUAGGGGAUCGAAGACGAUCAGAUACCGUCGUAGUCUUAACCAUAAACUAUGCCGACUAGGGAUCGGAUGAUGUUAAUUUUUUAAUGACUCAUUCGGCGCCUUACGGGAAAC